This 372-nucleotide ribosomal RNA is filed under the name uncultured bacterium. RNAcentral's name for it is "bacterial SSU rRNA". It matches the Rfam family "Bacterial small subunit ribosomal RNA", at positions 28 to 369 of the family's 1533-position model. The record is from RNAcentral.
GACGAACGCUGGCGGCGUGCUUAACACAUGCAAGUCGAACGAGACGAUUGAAAGCUUGCUUUUGAAAGUCGAGUGGCAAACGGGUGAGUAACGCGUAGGCAACCUGCCUUCGAGAUGGGGACAACAGUCCGAAAGGACUGCUAAUACCGAAUGUUGUGACGGAACCACAUGGAUUCGUCAUUAAAGAUGGCCUCUAUUUGGAUUCGAGGAAAUCUACGGAGCAAUUCGAGGGGCUCGCGGCCUAUCAGCUAGUUGGCGAGGUAAUGGCUNACCAAGGCGACGACGGGUAGCUGGUCUGAGAGGACGGCCAGCCACAUUGGGACUGAGAUACGGCCCAGACUCCUACGGGAGGCAGCAUGGGAAGUCUUGCGC